This 440-nucleotide ribosomal RNA is filed under the name uncultured bacterium. Its description in RNAcentral is "partial 16S ribosomal RNA". It matches the Rfam family "Bacterial small subunit ribosomal RNA", at positions 338 to 795 of the family's 1533-position model. The record is from RNAcentral.
CCUACGGGGGUCUGCAGUGGGGAAUAUUGCACAAUGGGGGAAACCCUGAUGUAGCGACGCCGCGUGCGUGAAGAAGUAAUUCGUUAUGUAAAGCUCUAUCAGCAGGGAAGAAAAUGCCGGUACCUGAGUCAGAAGCCGCGGCUAACUACGUGCCAGCAGCCGCGGUUAUACGUAGGGGGCAAGCGUUAUCCGGAUUUACUGGGUGUAAAGGGAGCGUAGACGGCAGGGCAAGUCUGGAGUGAAUGGCGGGGGCUCAACCCCCGGACUGCUCUGGAAACUGUACGGCUGGAGUGCAGGAGAGGUAAGUGGAAUUCCUAGUGUAGCGGUGAAAUGCGUAGAUAUUAGGAGGAACACCAGUGGCGAAGGCGGCUUACUGGACUGUAACUGACGUUGAGGCUCGAAAGCGUGGGGAGCAAACAGGAUUAGAUACCCUGGUAGUC